CAGCCGCCACGGGAAUACGAAGGGGGCUAGCGUUGUUCGGAUUUACUGGGCGUAAAGGGCGCGUAGGCGGACUGAUAAGUCAGGGGUGAAAUCCCAAGGCUCAACCUUGGAACUGCCUUUGAUACUGUUUGUCUUGAGUUCGAGAGAGGUAAGUGGAACUGCGAGUGUAGAGGUGAAAUUCGUAGAUAUUCGCAAGAACACCAGUGGCGAAGGCGGCUUACUGGCUCGAAACUGACGCUGAGGCGCGAAAGCGUGGGGAGCAAACAGGAUUAGAUACCCCAGUAGUCCCUGUCUCUUAUAC
RNAcentral lists this ribosomal RNA (301 nucleotides) under uncultured bacterium. RNAcentral's name for it is "partial 16S ribosomal RNA". It matches the Rfam family "Bacterial small subunit ribosomal RNA", at positions 509 to 807 of the family's 1533-position model. The record is from RNAcentral.